Molecule: ribosomal RNA, 492 nt
Filed under: uncultured bacterium
Lineage: Bacteria
Description: partial 16S ribosomal RNA
Rfam family: Bacterial small subunit ribosomal RNA
Source: RNAcentral
AGUGAACGCUGGCGGUAGGCCUAACACAUGCAAGUCGAACGGCAGCACAGUAAGAGCUUGCUCUUACGGGUGGCGAGUGGCGGACGGGUGAGGAAUACAUCGGAAUCUACUUUUUCGGGGGGGAUAACGUAGGGAAACUUACGCUAAUACCGCAUACGACCUACGGGUGAAAGCAGGGGAUCUUCGGACCUUGCGCGAUUGAAUGAGCCGAUGUCGGAUUAGCUAGUUGGCGGGGUAACGGCCCACCAAGGCAACGAUCCGUAGCUGGUCUGAGAGGAUGAUCAGCCACACUGGAACUGAGACACGGUCCAGACUCCUACGGGAGGCAGCAGUGGGGAAUAUUGGACAAUGGGCGCAAGCCUGAUCCAGCCAUGCCGCGUGAGUGAAGAAGGCCUUCGGGUUGUAAAGCCCUUUUGUUAGGAAAGAAAAGCAGCAGGUUAAUACCCCGCUGUUCUGACGGUACCCAAAGAAUAAGCACCGGCUAACUUCGUG